This 699-nucleotide ribosomal RNA is filed under the name Hyphomonas atlantica. RNAcentral describes it as "corrig. bacterial SSU rRNA". It matches the Rfam family "Bacterial small subunit ribosomal RNA", at positions 107 to 842 of the family's 1533-position model. The record is from RNAcentral. Lineage: Bacteria; Pseudomonadati; Pseudomonadota; Alphaproteobacteria; Hyphomonadales; Hyphomonadaceae.
UGAGUAACGCGUGGGAACGUACCUUUCACUACGGAAUAGCUCUUGGAAACGAGUGGUAAUACCGUAUACGCCCUCCGGGGGAAAGAUUUAUCGGUGAAAGAUCGGCCCGCGUUAGAUUAGCUAGUUGGUAGGGUAAUGGCCUACCAAGGCGACGAUCUAUAGCUGGUCUGAGAGGAUGAUCAGCCACACUGGGACUGAGACACGGCCCAGACUCCUACGGGAGGCAGCAGUGGGGAAUCUUGCACAAUGGGCGAAAGCCUGAUGCAGCCAUGCCGCGUGAAUGAUGAAGGCCUUAGGGUUGUAAAAUUCUUUCGCCAGGGAUGAUAAUGACAGUACCUGGUAAAGAAGCCCCGGCUAACUUCGUGCCAGCAGCCGCGGUAAUACGAAGGGGGCUAGCGUUGUUCGGAAUUACUGGGCGUAAAGCGCACGUAGGCGGACUUUUAAGUCAGAUGUGAAAUCCCGGGGCUCAACCUCGGAACUGCAUUUGAAACUGGAAGUCUAGAGACCAGGAGAGGUUAGCGGAAUACCGAGUGUAGAGGUGAAAUUCGUAGAUAUUCGGUGGAACACCAGUGGCGAAGGCGGCUAACUGGACUGGUACUGACGCUGAGGUGCGAAAGUGUGGGGAGCAAACAGGAUUAGAUACCCUGGUAGUCCACACCGUAAACGAUGAGAGCUAGUUGUUGGCAGGCAUGCCUGUCG